GUGGGCUACGCCGCUACGCCACAUUUAGGCCUACAUAAAAACAGGAGUGUUUUUUAUUUAUUUAUUUAUUUUUUUUUAAAUAAAUUAUAAAAACUUAAUUUAGUAAAAAAGCAGCAGUGCUGCCAGUGAUGUCCGUGGUUUGUUUUGCGAAUCUGGACUUUCAUCAAUCACAACGCUGAACUCGCUCAACGCACGAGACCUUAAACACCAACAUCUUCAGAGCGCCGCCUUUUCAUUUCACCUGACAGACUGCAGGAGCCUGUAACCGGAUUAUCACACCGCAAAACCAGCAUAGGAUCCACUGGUGAGCAAGUGAUGUAAUGCUAAAUUUCUCCAAAUCUGUUCUGAUGAAGAAACAAACUUCUACAUCUCGGAUGACCUGAGGAUGUUUGGUCUGAAGGUGGGAGGUGUGUGUUUUCUCAAAUGACCUGAGCGUAUCGGAGCAGGAGUGGAAGGACAGAGCUGGAUUUGAAUUCAGCCUCGCAAGAAAUGAAACCCCUACAGGCCAGAGCUACAAAUCUGCUGCCAAUGCCAAAGCUGUCCAACACUACACAACCCAACAAGAGCAUUUCUGCUGCAUACUAAACAGCCCGGGCAGGACUGUGUGUUUCUCUGGUGCUGAAACAACACGUCUGGAACCGCUUUGCCUGUUUUCAUCACAGAAAAGGUGGUUCUGGGCCAGAAAACUCAAAUCUGCAGAAAAAAGUUGUAAUGACAACAACAAUCUGGUAAAACUAAUGCAAUAAGUAAGUAAAUAAAGGGAAGCUGUGUCCUAA
Long non-coding RNA from Carassius gibelio (silver crucian carp), 776 nucleotides. RefSeq lists it as uncharacterized. Lineage: Eukaryota; Metazoa; Chordata; Actinopteri; Cypriniformes; Cyprinidae. The transcript is spliced from 3 exons. The record is from RefSeq and is a predicted model, not a curated record.